CCUCGUUAAGUCAGGCAACGAGCGAGACCCACGCCCACAGUUGCCAGCGUACGUCUCUGGAGUGACGGGUACACUGUGGGGACCGCCGCUGCUAAAGCGGAGGAAGGAAUGGGCAACGGUAGGUCAGUAUGCCCCGAAUAUCCCGGGCUACACGCGAGCUACAAUGGUUGGUACAAUGGGUAUCUACCCCGAAAGGGGACGGGAAUCUCCUAAAACCAAUCUUAGUUCGGAUUGAGGGCUGCAACUCGCCCUCAUGAAGCUGGAAUCCGUAGUAAUCGCGUUUCAACAGAACGCGGUGAAUGCGUCCCUGCUCCUU
RNAcentral lists this ribosomal RNA (316 nucleotides) under uncultured Methanosaeta sp. RNAcentral describes it as "bacterial SSU rRNA". It matches the Rfam family "Archaeal small subunit ribosomal RNA", at positions 1023 to 1338 of the family's 1478-position model. Lineage: Archaea; Methanobacteriati; Methanobacteriota; Methanomicrobia; Methanotrichales; Methanotrichaceae. The record is from RNAcentral.